AUGAGAAUUAGCCAACGAGGUCUAAAUGAAAGUUGAAGAUCUCAUUAAUAGGAACUCAACGGUAAAAAGACAGACAAAAAUGGAGCUCGUAUGCAAAAGUUACGGACGAUGCUUAGAGACUACUUUACUAUAAAACUCCUAUAAAUACAAGGGUGAACUCCUCAUAUUUUCUUCACACCAUAAGCCUUUCUUUCUCUCUCUAACUUCUCUCUAACCUCCCUAAACCCCUCCCAAGUCUAGGGAACCUCCCUAUCACGAGAAGAAAGCCCCGGAGCGCCCGACGGCUCCGAGAAGAAAAGCUUUCGGCUCGGAAACGCUGCUCCAGCGAAGCCCGGUUUUUAAUAAAAACCCGUUGUUUCGUCAAGGGAUAAUUGUUUUAAGAGUAACGAAGUGCUGUCCGAGUGCCGACUCACCACCUUUCAAGUAUUGAUAUGAAGUGACAUUACACUGAGAGAUUUAAAGAGAUGUAGAUCACUAGUGUAAAUAAUUGAAGGAAAAAAAAAGAAACACACACCUCUAUUGUGUGCGUGUGUUUUAAGGAAGAGACAGAGUUUGAUUAGCUAGGAACAAGGGAGGAAGAAGGCAGCACCCUUUGGUGGUGACAGAAGGCGGCUUGAAAUCUUGAUCUUCCAAACUUUAGCACCUCCGAUUUCUUAUGAUUUUUACAAGAUUAAAGGUGUAGGAGCUUCAAGUGAAAAAUAAAUAAAAUUUAAAGAAUAAACGUCUGAGGCCCCAUUUUUGGGCAUUAUGGAGUCAAAAGCAUGGUUUUUUGGAAAACCGAGUAUCUCGACAUGACAAGCCAAGUGAAGAUCGUGCAUCUGAAGAGUGAUCGGGACAUGACACGUAUGUGGUCACAGCGUGAGGGUGGCUGUAACCCAAGCCCAUGAUCUUUUAGGUUUCCUCCAUAUUUAAACUCCAUUAACUCGAAUCUAGGGUUCAUUAUCAGCCUCCAUCUCCCUCAAACCUCAGAAAAACCCUAACCCUAAUCCCUCUUGGUGUUUUGGCUCAAUUUUGGUGGUUUUUGUGCUAUUUGAAGGAAGUAGAAGGAGAAUUGGUGCAAGGAUCAAUCAAACAACAUCUUCUCAUCUUUGAUAUCAACUUCUUGACCAUUUGUAAGGAUUUAAGCUUCCACCUUUAUUGUUUAUUCUCUUAUAUCUAAGUUGUUUAAGUUCCUUUUGGGUCACGGUUUUGAUUUGAGUGUAAGGAUGGAUUAAAGUUGGCAACUUUAUGGUCCUCUUAUAACACCCCAUUUUUGCCUUAUAGUAUGAUCGACUAAUCACGUAAAUAAACAUUCUUGCUAGAGGAAUAUUUAGGAUAAAUAGUCUUGACGAAAGUCAUAGUAAUCGCAAAACUAAGAGCGUGCGUAUAUAGACCGUCAAAAUCUGACUUCAUAAGAGGAAGUUAUGAUUUUUAGAAGUUACAGCGUAGCAGUGUAUGACACAAAAAUGCAAUAGAGAUUGGUCGAUUGUUAGGAAAAACAAUCUAAACGAGAGUUGAAAAUCUCGUCCAUAUGAUUUUGUCGAUAUAAAGACAGUCGAGAACGAAAUUCAUAUGAGAGAGUUAUGAUUUUUAUACGGGCUUUAACAGUCAAAGACUGUUAAAAAUAUAGCUUUAAAAAUAAAUUCAAAAUUAGUCGACGGAGUCUAAAUGAAACUUGUAGAUCUAAUUGAUAGCUAUGCAUGGAUAUAAAGAACGUAAAAAACAGAGCUCAUAUGAAGAAGAUAUGAUUUUUGGAAGAAUCUGAAAAUUCGCACGCAGGCGCGCGCACUGCACGGCACGUAAAGACAGUCUGAUGCGGCCCACCAGUUUUGGGACAUGUUUGGUGAGACUAGCUUGGAAAGGGUAAAAUGGUAUGUUACCCUAGAGACAAAGUAUGUUAUGGACCAGCAGCUCAGGUGUGAGUGUUAUCUGUUAUCGAUUGAGGUAAGUCUUCUCAUUAUAUUGUAGGACACUAGGUGUCGUAUAUGCUUGAUGUCUUUGUGACUCUUGUGUUCCUGAAUGUUAUAUGUAUGUGGGGUGAAAUAGACUCAUUCGUUUGAAAAAUAUUGAUUCAGUCGGAAGGGACUCUAGGGUGAAAUAGACUCGUUCGUUUGAAAAACACUGAUUGAGUCGGAAGGGACUCAAUGGUGAAAUAGACCCAUUAUAGCCUUGUGCUGAUAUGUAUGUAUGGUAUGUGAUAUUUUGAGAAACUCACUAAGCUUUGUGCUUACGGUAUAUGUUUAAAAUGUU
Lactuca sativa (garden lettuce) is the source of this 2229-nucleotide non-coding RNA. The record is from RefSeq and is a predicted model, not a curated record. Lineage: Eukaryota; Viridiplantae; Streptophyta; Magnoliopsida; Asterales; Asteraceae.